AGGAUCGACCUCGACUCCUCUUUCGUUUGCAACAUGCCUCGGCAGCUUGCUGGACAGCACUCCAUAAGUGCGCUAAUUCGAACUCAACAGUAUGAGUUAUCUCUAUCUGUCAAACAACUUGGUCCACCGGAUGCCCCUCUUCUGCUUGGGACUCUGCCAUCAUGUCAUCAACAUGGCAUUUGCUUUCACGAUGAAUCAUAUCAUGAAACAAAGUCACCCUAGACUUCUGAUACUUGGCACCGGCCUUCUCG
RNAcentral lists this long non-coding RNA (251 nucleotides) under Lathyrus oleraceus (garden pea). Its description in RNAcentral is "Pisum sativum (pea) long non-coding RNA (PSAT_LNC041043)". The record is from RNAcentral. Lineage: Eukaryota; Viridiplantae; Streptophyta; Magnoliopsida; Fabales; Fabaceae.